UUAGGGUUAUACUUUGUCGUUCGUCGUUAAUUUGAUGGAUGUUUAAGUAUAGCACUUUGUCGUUCGUUGUGAGAAUUUGAUGUCGUGAGUUAUCGUAAUUGUUGUAUUAAGUUACCUACCUAGUUCGUGUGCCCUAGGUUACAAGGCUAAAUCAAUAGGCUAAGCUUUGCCUGUAUAAAUCUGCAAUAUAUCAAGGCUUAUCUGUAGACUAAACUUUGGCCGUAUGAAUCUGCAUGAUUAUAAUGUAAUUACAGUAGAUUGGAGUAAGGAUUGGAUCCGGCACUAAAAGACUUCAAGAAGUGGCUUAUUUUAUUAAUUAAAUCAAAUUAAGAAAUAUUGUUUUAUGUAAAUCAAAUUUAUCUUUAUUAAAGCUACCAUUAUAAAACAUGGGUUUAUCCCAUCUAUUUAAUAAAUA
Molecule: long non-coding RNA, 415 nt
Filed under: Helianthus annuus (common sunflower)
Lineage: Eukaryota; Viridiplantae; Streptophyta; Magnoliopsida; Asterales; Asteraceae
Description: sRNA HanXRQr2_Chr13g0594041
Source: RNAcentral